Molecule: long non-coding RNA, 310 nt
Filed under: Callithrix jacchus (white-tufted-ear marmoset)
Lineage: Eukaryota; Metazoa; Chordata; Mammalia; Primates; Cebidae
Description: lncRNA (ENSCJAG00000058211.2)
Source: RNAcentral
CAUGAUCUCAGCUCACUGCAACCUCUGCCUCCUGUGUUCAAGAGAUUCUCCUGCCUCAUCCUCUCGAGCAGCAAUAUAAAAUUACAUGCCACCACAGCCAGGUUUCCUGAUUCUGAGCCAGAUAAGUGUUUGGCACACCCCUGUCAUCUAAGUUGGAGGCUUAGAGAAGUAAGCAACCGAGGCGAGUUCCAGCUGGUCCUCACAGCUCACCUUCACAGGAUCCAGUUUAUCUUUGCUUUCUUCAUUUGCAUUCCGUCUUCUCUCCCCAAGUGAGUGCUCUGUGGAUAUUAGUCUCCAGCACCAGUUGCAG